RNAcentral lists this ribosomal RNA (3029 nucleotides) under Salmonella enterica subsp. enterica serovar 1,4,[5],12:i:-. RNAcentral's name for it is "23S ribosomal RNA". It matches the Rfam family "Bacterial large subunit ribosomal RNA". Lineage: Bacteria; Pseudomonadati; Pseudomonadota; Gammaproteobacteria; Enterobacterales; Enterobacteriaceae. The record is from RNAcentral.
GGGUUGUGAGGUUAAGCGACUAAGCGUACACGGUGGAUGCCCUGGCAGUCAGAGGCGAUGAAGGGCGUGCUAAUCUGCGAUAAGCGCCGGUAAGGUGAUAUGAACCGUUAUAACCGGCGAUACCCGAAUGGGGAAACCCAGUGUGACUCGUCACACUAUCAUUAACUGAAUCCAUAGGUUAAUGAGGCGAACCGGGGGAACUGAAACAUCUAAGUACCCCGAGGAAAAGAAAUCAACCGAGAUUCCCCCAGUAGCGGCGAGCGAACGGGGAGGAGCCCAGAGCCUGAAUCAGCAUGUGUGUUAGUGGAAGCGUCUGGAAAGGCGCGCGAUACAGGGUGACAGCCCCGUACACAAAAGCGCAUGUGCUGUGAGCUCGAUGAGUAGGGCGGGACACGUGGUAUCCUGUCUGAAUAUGGGGGGACCAUCCUCCAAGGCUAAAUACUCCUGACUGACCGAUAGUGAACCAGUACCGUGAGGGAAAGGCGAAAAGAACCCCGGCGAGGGGAGUGAAAAAGAACCUGAAACCGUGUACGUACAAGCAGUGGGAGCCCCACCACCAAAGCAUUCUCUGGUGUUGAAGGCCCUGCAAAGCAGCAUCGCGGUGGCGGAGCGUCGUUUGCGACGCCCAACACACAAAACAAGCGGUGAAUGCUUUGGGGUGGGGUGACUGCGUACCUUUUGUAUAAUGGGUCAGCGACUUAUAUUCUGUAGCAAGGUUAACCGAAUAGGGGAGCCGGAGGGAAACCGAGUCUUAAUUGGGCGUUAAGUUGCAGGGUAUAGACCCGAAACCCGGUGAUCUAGCCAUGGGCAGGUUGAAGGUUGGGUAACACUAACUGGAGGACCGAACCGACUAAUGUUGAAAAAUUAGCGGAUGACCUGUGGCUGGGGGUGAAAGGCCAAUCAAACCGGGAGAUAGCUGGUUCUCCCCGAAAGCUAUUUAGGUAGCGCCUCGUGAAUUCAUCUCCGGGGGUAGAGCACUGUUUCGGCUAGGGGGCCAUCCCGGCUUACCAACCCGAUGCAAACUGCGAAUACCGGAGAAUGUUAUCACGGGAGACACACGGCGGGUGCUAACGUCCGUCGUGAAGAGGGAAACAACCCAGACCGCCAGCUAAGGUCCCAAAGUCAUGGUUAAGUGGGAAACGAUGUGGGAAGGCCCAGACAGCCAGGAUGUUGGCUUAGAAGCAGCCAUCAUUUAAAGAAAGCGUAAUAGCUCACUGGUCGAGUCGGCCUGCGCGGAAGAUGUAACGGGGCUAAACCAUGCACCGAAGCUGCGGCAGCGACGCUGAUGCGUUGUUGGGUAGGGGAGCGUUCUGUAAGCCUGCGAAGGUGACCUGUGAGGGUUGCUGGAGGUAUCAGAAGUGCGAAUGCUGACAUAAGUAACGAUAAAGCGGGUGAAAAGCCCGCUCGCCGGAAGACCAAGGGUUCCUGUCCAACGUUAAUCGGGGCAGGGUGAGUCGACCCCUAAGGCGAGGCCGAAAGGCGUAGUCGAUGGGAAACGGGUUAAUAUUCCCGUACUUGGUGUUACUGCGAAGGGGGGACGGAGAAGGCUAUGUUGGCCGGGCGACGGUUGUCCCGGUUUAAGCGUGUAGGUGUGUGUUCCAGGUAAAUCCGGUUCACUUUAACACUGAGGCGUGAUGACGAGGCACUACGGUGCUGAAGCAACAAAUGCCCUGCUUCCAGGAAAAGCCUCUAAGCAUCAGGUAACAUCAAAUCGUACCCCAAACCGACACAGGUGGUCAGGUAGAGAAUACCAAGGCGCUUGAGAGAACUCGGGUGAAGGAACUAGGCAAAAUGGUGCCGUAACUUCGGGAGAAGGCACGCUGACACGUAGGUGAAGUGAUUUACUCAUGGAGCUGAAGUCAGUCGAAGAUACCAGCUGGCUGCAACUGUUUAUUAAAAACACAGCACUGUGCAAACACGAAAGUGGACGUAUACGGUGUGACGCCUGCCCGGUGCCGGAAGGUUAAUUGAUGGGGUCAGCGCAAGCGAAGCUCCUGAUCGAAGCCCCGGUAAACGGCGGCCGUAACUAUAACGGUCCUAAGGUAGCGAAAUUCCUUGUCGGGUAAGUUCCGACCUGCACGAAUGGCGUAAUGAUGGCCAGGCUGUCUCCACCCGAGACUCAGUGAAAUUGAACUCGCUGUGAAGAUGCAGUGUACCCGCGGCAAGACGGAAAGACCCCGUGAACCUUUACUAUAGCUUGACACUGAACAUUGAGCCUUGAUGUGUAGGAUAGGUGGGAGGCUUUGAAGUGUGGACGCCAGUCUGCAUGGAGCCGACCUUGAAAUACCACCCUUUAAUGUUUGAUGUUCUAACGUGGACCCGUAAUCCGGGUUGCGGACAGUGUCUGGUGGGUAGUUUGACUGGGGCGGUCUCCUCCUAAAGAGUAACGGAGGAGCACGAAGGUUGGCUAAUCCUGGUCGGACAUCAGGAGGUUAGUGCAAUGGCAUAAGCCAGCUUGACUGCGAGCGUGACGGCGCGAGCAGGUGCGAAAGCAGGUCAUAGUGAUCCGGUGGUUCUGAAUGGAAGGGCCAUCGCUCAACGGAUAAAAGGUACUCCGGGGAUAACAGGCUGAUACCGCCCAAGAGUUCAUAUCGACGGCGGUGUUUGGCACCUCGAUGUCGGCUCAUCACAUCCUGGGGCUGAAGUAGGUCCCAAGGGUAUGGCUGUUCGCCAUUUAAAGUGGUACGCGAGCUGGGUUUAGAACGUCGUGAGACAGUUCGGUCCCUAUCUGCCGUGGGCGCUGGAGAACUGAGGGGGGCUGCUCCUAGUACGAGAGGACCGGAGUGGACGCAUCACUGGUGUUCGGGUUGUCAUGCCAAUGGCACUGCCCGGUAGCUAAAUGCGGAAGAGAUAAGUGCUGAAAGCAUCUAAGCACGAAACUUGCCCCGAGAUGAGUUCUCCCUGAGACUUAGAGUCUCCUGAAGGAACGUUGAAGACGACGACGUUGAUAGGCCGGGUGUGUAAGCGCAGCGAUGCGUUGAGCUAACCGGUACUAAUGAACCGUGAGGCUUAACCUUACAACGCCGAAG